UACGGGGGGGGCAAGCGUUGUUCGGAAUUACUGGGCGUAAAGGGCUCGUAGGCGGCCAACUAAGUCAGACGUGAAAUCCCUCGGCUUAACCGGGGAACUGCGUCUGAUACUGGAUGGCUUGAGUUUGGGAGAGGGAUGCGGAAUUCCAGGUGUAGCGGUGAAAUGCGUAGAUAUCUGGAGGAACACCGGUGGCGAGGGCGGCAUCCUGGACCAACACUGGCGCUGAGUGAGCGAAAGCCAGGGGAGCAAACAGG
RNAcentral lists this ribosomal RNA (254 nucleotides) under uncultured bacterium. Its description in RNAcentral is "partial 16S ribosomal RNA". It matches the Rfam family "Bacterial small subunit ribosomal RNA", at positions 524 to 776 of the family's 1533-position model. The record is from RNAcentral.